CCGAUAUGAUGAGCAAACAUGAAGAAUUCUGCAAUUCGGACAGUCUCCUAAUUCACUGUGAGAUUGGAUGUUGACUCUUCUACACUUGAUCUGAUC
RNAcentral lists this small nucleolar RNA (96 nucleotides) under Aspergillus aculeatus ATCC 16872. Its description in RNAcentral is "A. fumigatus snoRNA Afu_191". It matches the Rfam family "A. fumigatus snoRNA Afu_191". The record is from Rfam by way of RNAcentral. Lineage: Eukaryota; Fungi; Ascomycota; Eurotiomycetes; Eurotiales; Aspergillaceae.